This 460-nucleotide ribosomal RNA is filed under the name uncultured bacterium. RNAcentral describes it as "partial 16S ribosomal RNA". It matches the Rfam family "Bacterial small subunit ribosomal RNA", at positions 338 to 795 of the family's 1533-position model. The record is from RNAcentral.
CCUACGUGUGACAGCAGUGAGGAAUAUUGGUCAAUGGGCGGAAGCCUGAACCAGCCAAGUAGCGUGCAGGAUGACGGCCCUACGGGUUGUAAACUGCUUUUAUCCGGGAAUAACGCGCCUUACGUGUAGGGCUUUGCAUGUACCGUAUGAAUAAGGACCGGCUAAUUCCGUGCCAGCAGCCGCGGUAAUACGGAAGGUCCGGGCGUUCUCCGGAUUUAUUGGGUUGAAAGGGAGCGUAGGCCGCAUAUCAAUCGUGCUGUGAAAUGUCCGGGCUCAACCCGGGCUUUGCAGCGCGAAAUGGCGUGCGUGAGUCCGCGGAAGGCAGGCGGAAUUCGUCGUGUAGCGGUGAAAUGCUUAGAUAUGACGAAGAACCCCGAUUGCGAAGGCAGCUUGCUGCAGCGGAACUGACGCUGAUGCUCGAAAGCGCGGGUAUCGAACAGGAUUAGAUACCCCAGUAGUC